AACGAACGCUGGCGGCAUGCCUAACACAUGCAAGUCGAACGAAACCUUCGGGUCUAGUGGCGCACGGGUGCGUAACGCGUGGGAACCUGCCCUUAGGUUCGGAAUAACUCCCCGAAAGGGGUGCUAAUACCGGAUAAUUUCUUCGGACCAAAGAUUUAUCGCCUUUGGAUGGGCCCGCGUUGGAUUAGCUAGUUGGUAGGGUAAAAGCCUACCAAGGCGACGAUCCAUAGCUGGUCUGAGAGGAUGAUCAGCCACACUGGGACUGAGACACGGCCCAGACUCCUACGGGAGGCAGCAGUGGGGAAUAUUGGACAAUGGGCGAAAGCCUGAUCCAGCAAUGCCGCGUGUGUGAUGAAGGCCUUAGGGUUGUAAAGCUCUUUUACCCGGGAUGAUAAUGACAGUACCGGGAGAAUAAGCUCCGGCUAACUCCGUG
This 433-nucleotide ribosomal RNA is filed under the name uncultured bacterium. Its description in RNAcentral is "partial 16S ribosomal RNA". It matches the Rfam family "Bacterial small subunit ribosomal RNA", at positions 29 to 507 of the family's 1533-position model. The record is from RNAcentral.